Molecule: unclassified non-coding RNA, 430 nt
Filed under: fungal sp.
Lineage: Eukaryota; Fungi
Description: partial internal transcribed spacer region
Rfam family: Eukaryotic small subunit ribosomal RNA (bases 1-46)
Source: RNAcentral
AAGUCGUAACAAGGUUUCCGUAGGUGAACCUGCGGAAGGAUCAUUAACACGUAUCCAACGUUAAACCGUUUAACCCAGAGGAAUGUAGACGAGAGUUCGACUAUCCCAAGGUGUUGAGUGCGCUUUCGAUUUGCAAAAAUGAACGUAAUCAGGGGGUUGUGAAAGUGUUCAACCUGAUUAUUUUUAUCUUUGGAAGUAGAAAGUGUCCGAGAUGCUGUAAGGUAGACUGCUUUAACGAGCGGGUACCAGUAGGCCGACACGGCCGGUCAAGAGGGACGUGUACUCGUUCCUAUAGGAACGACGCCCAGGAUCCGAUACCACCCCUUGAAACGACAGGGUGUCGCGAAAACGUGGUAAGGCAUGAUUUUACUUGUACCGAAAGGUCCAAGUACUAACUGAACAACUGUUAACAAUGGAUAUCUUGGUUCUC